This 207-nucleotide ribosomal RNA is filed under the name uncultured bacterium. Its description in RNAcentral is "partial 16S ribosomal RNA". It matches the Rfam family "Bacterial small subunit ribosomal RNA", at positions 568 to 774 of the family's 1533-position model. The record is from RNAcentral.
AGCGCAGGCGGGAGGACAAGUUGGAAGUGAAAUCCAUGGGCUCAACCCAUGAACUGCUUUCAAAACUGUUUUUCUUGAGUAGUGCAGAGGUAGGCGGAAUUCCCGGUGUAGCGGUGGAAUGCGUAGAUAUCGGGAGGAACACCAGUGGCGAAGGCGGCCUACUGGGCACCAACUGACGCUGAGGCUCGAAAGUGUGGGUAGCAAACA